GACGAACGCUGGCGGCGUGCCUAAUACAUGCAAGUCGAGCGGACCGAACGAGGGCUUGCUCUUGUUUGGUCAGCGGCGGACGGGUGAGUAACACGUGGGCAACCUGCCCGCAAGACCGGGAUAACUCCGGGAAACCGGAGCUAAUACCGGAUAACACCGAAGACCGCAUGGUCGUCGGUUGAAAGGCCGCCUGUGGGCUGUCACUUGCGGAUGGGCCCGCGGCGCAGUAGCUAGUUGGUGAGGUAACGGCUCACCAAGGCGACGAUGCGUAGCCGGCCUGAGAGGGUGACCGGCCACACUGGGACUGAGACACGGCCCAGACUCCUACGGGAGGCAGCAGUAGGGAAUCUUCCGCAAUGGGCGAAAGCCUGACGGAGCGACGCCGCGUGAGCGAAGAAGGCCUUCGGGUCGUAAAGCUCUGUUGUGAGGGACGAAGGAGCGCCGUUCGAAGAGGGCGGCGCGGUGACGGUACCUCACGAGAAAGCCCCGGCUAACUACGUGCCAGCAGCCGCGGUAA
Molecule: ribosomal RNA, 517 nt
Filed under: uncultured bacterium
Lineage: Bacteria
Description: partial 16S ribosomal RNA
Rfam family: Bacterial small subunit ribosomal RNA
Source: RNAcentral